UCUGAUUCUUUUUCCCCUUCGCACGCGGCUUCCUUCCUCCCGAGUUCUUCUUGCGUUUCCCUCUCGGACGAUCGCCGGCCCAACGAAGCAGCACCCUGCAACGAUCGACCCUCGGUAGCACCCCAUCUCCUUCAUUGAUCGAGCUCACUUUGAGGUUGUUCUUCCUCCCGAGUUGACGCAUCCGCCCGGGCAAUCCCUCGUUGGAGGGAAGGAAGAUCCGAACCCUAGCCGUCGACAUUUUCUCCGACCACACGGCGGCACCAUAUCACCGCGAGCACCAGUGGCGUUGCUCUUCCACCUCUGGCCAGUCGUCGUUGUCCCUCCUCUAUUCUUGAUCAGUGCCCUAGCUGCCAUCGCUCGGUCAUCACCACUUGAUCGAGCCAGCACCACCUGAUCGUCGGCGUGGGUGCGGCCUCAACCAAUCAUUCGCUUGUCUGGAUUUCCACGGGUACAGUGCCGAGUUUUCCCACUUUCUUCCAUCACUGGCAAUGAAUCUUUACCUUGCGGAAAUCUUGAAGGUGUUUGAUGAAUUGCCUUAAGCUUCUUGUUUCCUCUGUUUGUGUCGGACCAGCUGUGUUUGGUGGGUAAUCUCCAUUUCCCUCCAUAGUAGGCAAUAAACCUCUAUCGAUGGUUGUGUAUCCCGAUCAGCCACUUCCGGAUUGGGGACUUAGAUUCGGGAUGAGCGUCUCGACGCGGGAUUACUUGGCACGAUCUAUAUUUAAGGC
This is a long non-coding RNA of Zingiber officinale, 725 nucleotides long. RefSeq lists it as uncharacterized. Lineage: Eukaryota; Viridiplantae; Streptophyta; Magnoliopsida; Zingiberales; Zingiberaceae. The transcript has 3 exons. The record is from RefSeq and is a predicted model, not a curated record.